GACGAACGCUGGCGGCGUGCUUAACACAUGCAAGUCGAACGGAAAGGCCCUGCUUUUGUGGGGUGCUCGAGUGGCGAACGGGUGAGUAACACGUGAGUUACCUGUCAUUGACUUAGGGAUAACUUAAGGCAACUGGAGCUAAUACCGGAUAGGAGCUCCUGCUGCAGGGUGGGGGCUGGAAAGUUUCGGCGGUUGGGGAUGGACUCGCGGCCUAUCAGCUUGUUGGUGGGGUAGUGGCAUACCAAGGCUUUGACGGGUAGCCGGCCUGAGAGGUGGACCAGCCACAAUAGGACUGAGAUACGGCCCAGACGCGAAUGGUAGGCAACGGUGGAGAGUAUUAUACAGGGGUGGGGAGUGUGAUGCGACGACGCCGCGUGUGGGAUGACGGCCAUGGGGUUGGGAAGCGCAGUCGGCUGAGACGAAGCGGGAGUGACGUUAAUGGGAGAAUAAGCACCGGCUAACUACGUG
Molecule: ribosomal RNA, 468 nt
Filed under: uncultured bacterium
Lineage: Bacteria
Description: partial 16S ribosomal RNA
Rfam family: Bacterial small subunit ribosomal RNA
Source: RNAcentral